AAGAAGUGGAGGAUGGGUGGGCCCAGAUUUCAAAAGGCCUAUGUUCUUGGGAGGAAAAGAAAACCGAUUGAGUAGCUGCUACCUAUAAUUGUUUGGUGCAUCUAAUGCACAGGUCAUCAUAAUACACAUUAACUGGAAUGUUGUUGUUAUGUGAGAUAUCUAUCCAAGACCGUAAACUUCAUGCAGGAGAUUAAGUACUACUUUGAAUUUGGUGAAAACUUCGUAGCAGAGUGCUCGGAAAUGGAA
Molecule: long non-coding RNA, 246 nt
Filed under: Panax ginseng (ginseng)
Lineage: Eukaryota; Viridiplantae; Streptophyta; Magnoliopsida; Apiales; Araliaceae
Description: long non-coding RNA (PGIN_LNC018559)
Source: RNAcentral